CAGGUAGUGACUACUUUCCAAGAAAGGGGGGCGAUGGAAUACACUAUUGUGGUAGCUGAAAUGGCGGAUUCCCCUGCUACAUUACAAUACCUCGCUCCUUAUACAGGAGCCGCUCUGGCGGAAUAUUUUAUGUACCGUGAACGACACACUUCAAUCAUUUAUGAUGAUCCCUCCAAACAAGCACAAGCUUAUCGACAAAUGUCUCUUCUAUUACGAAGACCGCCCGGUCGCGAAGCUUAUCCAGGGGAUGUUUUUUAUUUGCAUUCACGCCUUUUGGAAAGAGCUGCUAAAUUAAGUUCUCGUUUGGGUGAAGGAAGUAUGACUGCUUUGCCAAUAGUUGAAACUCAGUCGGGAGAUGUUUCGGCUUAUAUUCCUACUAAUGUAAUUUCGAUUACUGAUGGACAAAUAUUCUUAUCUGCCGAUCUAUUCAAUGCUGGAAUCAGACCUGCUAUUAAUGUGGGUAUCUCCGUUUCCAGAGUGGGAUCUGCAGCUCAAAUUAAAGCUAUGAAACAAGUCGCUGGCAAAUUAAAAUUGGAACUGGCGCAAUUCGCAGAAUUAGAAGCCUUUGCACAAUUUGCUUCUGAUCUCGAUAAAGCUACUCAGAAUCAAUUGGCAAGAGGUCAACGAUUACGUGAAUUGCUCAAACAAUCCCAAUCAGCCCCUCUCACGGUGGAAGAACAGAUAAUGACUAUUUAUACCGGAACAAAUGGUUAUCUUGAUUUAUUAGAAAUUGGACAGGUAAGGAAAUUUCUUGUUGAGUUACGUACUUACCUAAAAACUAAUAAACCGAAGUUUCAAGAAAUCAUAUCUUCUACUAAGACAUUCACCGAGGAAGCAGAAGCCCUUUUGAAAAAAGCUAUUCAGGAACAGACGGAAUGUUUUAUACUUCAGGAACAAGCAUAAAGAAAUUGAUAAAAGUUCUCAACAAAAGGAUAAUCAAGCGUCUCGCAUUCAAAUCUUUCAAAAGGGCUUCCAAAAUCUAAAAAAAAUAAAUGGAAAUAAAUUGCGUCCAAUAGCAUUUCGUGAUUCAUUGGUAAAUCUACUUUGAUUCUCUAUCAACCAAUAAUGUGGGACCGUUAAACAUGGUUAAAGCUAAAUUGCUUGAAGUCCAGACCCAGCAUUGUACUCUUUCUACCACUAUAUUAAUACUAAUAUAAAGAUGCUUUCAAAAAUGAAUAGUUUAUCGAUAUAGAACACUCAUAUGGAUAAAACCUUUUGAACCACCUAUUAUAAAAUUAGAAAAUAAGGGGGAUGAAAUCCCCAUUUUUAUCCAAUGCUGAAUCGACGACCUAUGUAUUGUGUAUAAAGAAAGAAAAACUUUUUGGAUUUGAAAAAAAAAGAAACAACUUUGCUGACAAUUACAUAUUUUUGUUUGGUCAGAAGAGUCCUUCGACUAUUUUGGUUUUGGAUGAGUGAUUAGUUUCGACGAUAUUUUUAUUUUAUUUUUGAAUAUGAAGAGAGAAUAGAGGAUAGGCUCAUUACAUUCAAAAAAAGAUAUGGGAAUUUACCAUAAGUAAUUGAGUGUGAGAGCCAAAUGAAUCGAAAGAUUCAUGUUUGGUUCGGGAAGGGAUCAUGGAAGUUUUAAAUGAAUGGAAAGAGAAUCUACUUUGAUUAAGUGAUUUAUUAGAUAAUCAAAAACAUAGGAUUUUGAAUACUAUUCGAAAUUCUGAAGAACUUCGUGAAGGGGCCAUUGAACAGCUGGAAAAAGCCCGGGCGCGCUUACGAAAAGUGGAAAUGGAAGCAGAUCAGUUUCGGGUGAGUGGAUAUUCUGAGAUAGAGCGAGAAAAGUGGAAUUUUAUUAAUUCAACUUCUAAGACUUUGGAACAACUAGAAAAUUACAAAAACGAAACUAUUCAUUUUGAACAACAAAGGGCGAUUCAUCAAGUCCGACAACUGAUUUUCUAACAAGCCUUACAAUGGGCUCUAGGAACUCUGAUUAGUUGUUUGAACAACGAGUUACAUUUACGUACCAUCAGUGCCAAUAUUGGCAUCUUGGGGGUGAUGAAAGAAAUAACUGAUUAGUCCUUCUACUCUAGGUAUCAUUUUUUUUUCAAAAAUGAAUUAAGAAAUACUCAUGGUAACCAUUCGAGCCGACGAAAUUAGUAAUAUUAUCCGUGAACGUAUUGAGCAAUAUAAUAGAGAAGUAAAGAUUGUAAAUACCGGUACCGUACUGCAAGUAGGCGACGGCAUUGCUCGUAUUCAUGGUCUUGAUGAAGUAAUGGCGGGUGAAUUAGUAGAAUUUGAAGAGGGUACGGUAGGGAUUGCUCUGAAUUUGGAAUCAAAUAAUGUCGGUGUUGUAUUAAUGGGCGAUGGUUUGCUGAUACAAGAAGGAAGUUCUGUAAAAGCAACAGGAAGAAUUGCUCAGAUACCCGUGAGUGAGGCCUAUUUGGGUCGUGUUGUAAAUGCCCUGGCUAAACCUAUUGAUGGUAGAGGUGAAAUUUCAGCUUCUGAAUAUCGGUUAAUUGAAUCUCCCGCUCCAGGUAUUAUUUCACGACGUUCAGUAUACGAGCCUCUUCAAACGGGGCUUAUUGCUAUUGAUUCUAUGAUCCCUAUAGGACGUGGUCAGCGAGAAUUAAUUAUUGGGGACAGACAGACCGGUAAAACAGCAGUAGCAACAGAUACGAUUCUCAAUCAACAAGGCCAAAAUGUAAUAUGUGUUUAUGUAGCUAUUGGUCAAAAAGCAUCUUCUGUGGCUCAGGUAGUGACUACUUUCCAGGAAAGGGGGGCGAUGGAAUACACUAUUGUGGUAGCUGAAAUGGCGGAUUCCCCUGCUACAUUACAAUACCUCGCUCCUUAUACAGGAGCCGCUCUGGCGGAAUAUUUUAUGUACCGUGAACGACACACUUCAAUCAUUUAUGAUGAUCCCUCCAAACAAGCACAAGCUUAUCGACAAAUGUCUCUUCUAUUACGAAGACCGCCCGGUCGCGAAGCUUAU
This 2935-nucleotide long non-coding RNA is filed under the name Panax ginseng (ginseng). Lineage: Eukaryota; Viridiplantae; Streptophyta; Magnoliopsida; Apiales; Araliaceae. The record is from RNAcentral.